GUUAUGGGCACACAUUGGGUGGAGAGGGAUGAAUGGAAUGUUUACAUGGUUAUCAUUUCUUCAGGGAAGUUCAGAGCCAGAUUUCUUAUUCCUCUGUAUAGCCCUGAGAAUCCUUUGUUUUAUGAGGUGCUUACUAACUUGAAGCCCCAGAGAGGUACGUUUUAGAUGAGUGGUAAUGUUAUUCGGUGAUUUAACAAGUUCGUUGGUCGGUCGCGAGGUUUUUCCACCAUGAUUGAAAAGUCACACGAGUAUGAACCUUCUGACUAUACUGCUGCUAGCUUCUUAACUGAUUAUUAUGCAAAUCUUAUCGGGUGAGAGGGCCAAGGAUGGGUUGUUUGCUUCAACUGGACGAACUCUCCUGAGAGUAAAAAACUUUUGCUUCCCAACCUCGACCCUAAGGGAAAUAAUACCAACCAAUUUCUUCGCAACUCGAGCGCUGAGGCCUGGAUAAUAUUUCCUUUAAUUCUUAACCGUCCUUGGGUUUGGGGAAGAAAUUCUGACGGCAAUCCUCGUACCGAUCCCCUUGAAACAGAUGCUCACUUGCCCCAAUAUGCCUUUGGGUUUUUCAUUGGCCCGAAAAACCAGCUAAGGAUAUCAUUCAUGAUAUUGUUAAAAGGCGAGUUACUGCUUCUCGCAAGCAAGCACCUUCCCUGGAGACGAGUUUUCCCAAGAAGGAUGGUACGAGCGGGUCAGCUGUUGUUUCUCCUUCUGCGAAGAAGAGUCGUCCGAUACCUUAGGCGAAUACUGGUCCAGGUCUGGUGAAGCAACUUAUGAAGAAGUCACAAACCAAGAUAAUUAUCGAUAUUGCGGACGAUGAAGGAGAUGUCUCCGAUAAAGAAGCCACGAAGAUAACCAUUGUUACUGCCUCGGCUGUAAUAAAGGAGGACAUCAUGCCUCCACUUCAAAACAUUAUUCCUGAGAAGUCUAUUGUUGAUGGUGCCAAGAAGCCUGUCACCGUUGUGGAGAAACAUAUGGAGGUGCAAGGUGAGUCAAAGACCAAUGGGAAGAGUUCUUUUAUGGUCUCAGUUGUUUGAAUACCUUGAAGCUGGCAAUCCAUUUCCUGUAUCUUCAAAUUUAUGCUCUGCAAUGGUUAAGCUUUCUUCAGAUUCCUUCGCCCAAUAGGAUGUUGUAGUGAAAAGGGAUGUCUCUAC
This is a long non-coding RNA of Papaver somniferum (opium poppy), 1151 nucleotides long. RefSeq lists it as uncharacterized. The transcript has 3 exons. NCBI's taxonomy places the organism in Eukaryota, Viridiplantae, Streptophyta, Magnoliopsida, Ranunculales, Papaveraceae. The record is from RefSeq and is a predicted model, not a curated record.